AGAAUCAACGCUGGCGGCGUGCCUAACACAUGCAAGUCGAACGAGAAAGUGGAGCAAUCCACGAGUAAAGUGGCGCACGGGUGAGUAACACGUGACUAACCUACCCUUGAGUGGGGGAUAACCUAGGGAAACCUGGGCUAAUACCGCAUAAUACCUACGGGUCAAAGGAGCAAUUCGCUUAAGCGAGGGGGUCGCGGCCGAUUAGUUAGUUGGCGGGGUAAUGGCCCACCAAGACGAUGAUCGGUAUCCGGCCUGAGAGGGCGCACGGACACACUGGAACUGAAACACGGUCCAGACUCCUACGGGAGGCAGCAGUGGGGAAUUUUGCGCAAUGGGGGAAACCCUGACGCAGCAACGCCGCGUGGAGGAUGAAGUCCCUUGGGAUGUAAACUCCUUUCGAUCGGGACGAUUAUGACGGUACCGGAAGAAGAAGCCCCGGCUAACUUCGCGCCAGCAGCCGC
RNAcentral lists this ribosomal RNA (461 nucleotides) under uncultured bacterium. Its description in RNAcentral is "SSU rRNA". It matches the Rfam family "Bacterial small subunit ribosomal RNA", at positions 26 to 518 of the family's 1533-position model. The record is from RNAcentral.